Molecule: long non-coding RNA, 1521 nt
Organism: Oncorhynchus gorbuscha (pink salmon)
Lineage: Eukaryota; Metazoa; Chordata; Actinopteri; Salmoniformes; Salmonidae
Exons: 7
Source: RefSeq, a predicted model, not a curated record
GAUUAAGAGGGAAAACACUUUGACCAGAGCACCUUCAUCAUGACUUGUCUUCAUGCUGAGCCGUACCUCAGCACUGCUACGUGCAGUAAACUGUCAUCCUCUGGUGACUUUGAAUGAGGUGGCAACUGGAAAUGAGGACAUGGACACCUCAGAUACAUUUGACAGUGAUCUUGACGUCUCCGACGUAAAUGAGGCAGCCAACGAAAACUUGGGCAUUGACAGACAUGAUACAUUCUUCCUAUUUGGAGAUAUUGCUAUGGAAACUGGGAUUCGGAAUGCUUCUCCAUGCACGGCUCGAGAUUGCAAGUGGCCUAAAAAAGCAAGAAUGGGGUUGUGCCUGUGUAUAUCUCCUCUUUGUAUACUUUAGAGGAGCAAGAUAUCAUCAUAAAAGGACUGAUCUCCAUCCACCGGUCUACCUGUAUCCAAUAUGUGUGGUGGAAGCGGCAUCAAGAUUAUAUUGUAUUUCCACCCUGGAAAUGGGUGUUACAAGUAGACGUUCAAGUGAAAAGGGAAUUCGUAUAAUGCAGAUUUGUCUCCAGUCGUUGUCUUUCCUGACACAGUACAGUUAAUAUCGAAGAUAAGACUGCCUGUGUGCUUUGCUCCUUGUCUCUAAGGUGCUGAUUAUAUUUGGGACAUCGAGGUGGUCAGCAGGUGAUCUCCUUACAGCAGCGUGGCUGUGUCCAUCAUGGUGCAGUCCAGCAUGAAGACAUGCAUGCUCUGGGCUUCCACCAUAAGCAGAACUGCGGUGACCGGGACAAUAAUGUCACCGUUGUCACAGAGAACAUCAGCAAAGGUGGAAACCAAUAAUUUGAUGAUUCCGUAUGACUACACCUCUGUGAUGCACUAUGGAAGGUAUGCAUUCGCUAAAGGUUAUGGUAAGCUGCCAACUAUCAUUCCAAAGCCAGACUCUAGUGUUCAGAUCGGAGGGGCCCGACAGAUGAGUCGCCAGGACAUCGUGAGGGUCAAUAGGUUGUACAACUGCAGAGAGUAUUGGGCUUUAUUAUGUUAUAUCUUACAAUGGAAAAUACAUGUUUUCUUUCAAUCGUGCAUUUCAUAUCAUGAGAAUAAAUGUUUUGUUUUUUUGUGAACUUUGUCAGCACUGCUGAUGUUGUGCCUUUUAAUGUUUUUUUUUGUAUGUUCACCCCAAUAGGAGGACACUUGAAUAAAUGAAUUUAGAAGACUACAUCAGAUAUUUCAACCAACAACUAUUUGAAAUCAAAUCAAAUGGCAGCUAAUCAAUUAGCUUUCUGGAUGAGGUCAAAUUCACUUUGCACAAUACUCAUCGCUUUAUGUUGUGUUGUGGAUGCUUCACCACCCAGUUGGUUGCAAUAACAGUGUCUUUUUGACACUGUUAUAGAUAUUAUUUUGGGUGAUUGAGACAUUCAGUACUCAAUGUUCUAUUGCGUUGGUUGUGUGGUUAAUGUUAAUGUGAUUUCAUAUCCUGUGUUUCCCCCAUUUAUUAGCAUUCAGAAUCUUGACGGUUACUGCACUGCCUUCAUAUUUGCUCAAUAAAAGCUCACU